UUACUCAGAAGACCAAAAGACAAUGAAUCAUUUCAAAAUAAACUACCAAAAUAGAAACAAGCAUCAACAGUCCCGUGGCUAAGACGCUGGCAAGAUAACAAUAAAUACUCAUCCUCCGAUUUAUGUAUAAUUGCCUGAGAGACAAGAGUUCUAUCAUUUUAUAUUUCUCCACAUGUGUAGGGUUGGGCCCAAUCCCAUCAGCUGAAGCCUGUAUACUGAGGAGCAGGAAGGAAUUCUGUCCCCACCAAUCAGGAAGGAAUUCUGUCUCCAAACUGAUGUUAGACUCGAAGCUGCAACAUCAGCUCCUUUAGGUUUGCCUGGUUAAUUUUAGACUUGCUAGCUUCUACAAGCAUGUGAAACAGUUUUAGAAGUUACUCUCCCAGCCUCUCCCUUAUUUUCAUCACAUUUCUCCCCCAUCUCAUUUCUCUUUCUCUCUUUUUC
Mus musculus (house mouse) is the source of this 441-nucleotide long non-coding RNA. RefSeq annotates it as predicted gene, 51689. Lineage: Eukaryota; Metazoa; Chordata; Mammalia; Rodentia; Muridae. The record is from RefSeq and is a predicted model, not a curated record. The transcript has 3 exons.